This 300-nucleotide ribosomal RNA is filed under the name uncultured Methanosarcina sp. Its description in RNAcentral is "bacterial SSU rRNA". It matches the Rfam family "Bacterial small subunit ribosomal RNA", at positions 496 to 795 of the family's 1533-position model. Lineage: Archaea; Methanobacteriati; Methanobacteriota; Methanomicrobia; Methanosarcinales; Methanosarcinaceae. The record is from RNAcentral.
CGUAUCGCUGGGCCGCGGCGGCGGUCAUACGGGGGAUCCAAGCGUUAUCCGGAAUGACUGGGCGUAAAGAGUUGCGUAGGUGUCAGAGUAAGUUGAUAGUGAAAGCGUCCGGCUCAACCGGAUAUCCAUUAUCAAAACUGCUCAGCUAGAGGACGAGAGAGGUUAUUGGAAUUCCUAGUGUAGGGGUAAAAUCCGUUGAUAUUAGGAGGAACACCGAUGGCGUAGGCAGAUAACUGGCUCGUUCCUGACACUAAGGCACGAAAGCGUGGGUAGCAAACAGGAUUAGAUACCCGUGUAGUC